GACGAACGCUGGCGGCGUGCUUAACACAUGCAAGUCGAACGAGAGCGUAGAGAAAGCUUGCUUUUUCUACAAUCUAGUGGCAAACGGGUGAGUAACGCGUAAACAACCUGCCCUACGGAUGGGGACAACAGCUGGAAACGGCUGCUAAUACCGAAUACGUUCCGAAAGUCGCAUGACUAUCGGAAGAAAGGAUGGCCUCUAUUUAUAAGCUAUCGCCGGAGGAGGGGUUUGCGUCUGAUUAGCUAGUUGGAGGGGUAACGGCCCACCAAGGCGACGAUCAGUAGCCGGUCUGAGAGGAUGAACGGCCACAUUGGAACUGAGACACGGUCCAGACUCCUACGGGAGGCAGCAGUGGGGAAUCUUCCGCAAUGGGCGAAAGCCUGACGGAGCAACGCCGCGUGAGUGAAGACGGCCUUCGGGUUGUAAAGCUCUGUUAUACGGGACGAAUAAUCUUGUGGUUAAUACCCAUGAGAAGUGACGGUACCGUAAGAGAAAGCCACGGCUAACUACGCG
This 513-nucleotide ribosomal RNA is filed under the name uncultured bacterium. RNAcentral's name for it is "partial 16S ribosomal RNA". It matches the Rfam family "Bacterial small subunit ribosomal RNA", at positions 28 to 507 of the family's 1533-position model. The record is from RNAcentral.